AUUAUCAUCAGGGUUUCCCAAAAUUGGGUCUCCAGCUGUUUUUGGACUACAAUUCCCAUCGUCCCUGACAACUGUUCCUGCUAGCUAGGGAUGGUGGGAGUUGUAGUCUAAAAACAGCUUGAGGCCCAAGUUUGGGAAACAUUUACUUAUUAGAGC
Molecule: non-coding RNA, 156 nt
Organism: Podarcis lilfordi (Lilford's wall lizard)
Lineage: Eukaryota; Metazoa; Chordata; Lepidosauria; Squamata; Lacertidae
Source: the annotation of a GenBank genome assembly